GGGGGUGUACCGGUUUCGACGGGGGUAGUGAAGCGUUGAUGGCGUGUCGCCCGACCAGGUAAGGGCGUCAAAAACAUCCUGGAAACUGUAAGUGCGAACGAUAGCACCUACGCUCUCGCGGCCUGAACAGCUGAUCUGAGAGCCGUCGAAGCGAAGAGCCUGUCAGAGCUCUCGUGGAGGCGUCAUCGAUCUGACUAGCUCCCACCACCACUGCCCGGGUGAGGGGCGAAAAUAAAGGGUGGAUAGCGGCACGGAGAGCCAGCCCGACGGGCGAUCCGGGUCGCGAUACAAAACACGGGCUACACACGUAGAAGUCACCGCAGAUCGCUCUCGGACCCGGGUUCGACUCCCGGCGCCUCCAGAC
RNAcentral lists this transfer-messenger RNA (364 nucleotides) under Myxococcota bacterium. It matches the Rfam family "transfer-messenger RNA". Rfam says of the family: Bacterial tmRNA, also known as 10Sa RNA or SsrA, is named for its dual tRNA and mRNA-like properties. Its role is to liberate the mRNA from a stalled ribosome. Lineage: Bacteria; Pseudomonadati; Myxococcota. The record is from RNAcentral.